UACGAAGGGGGCUAGCGUUGCUCGGAAUCACUGGGCGUAAAGGGUGCGUAGGCGGGUCUUUAAGUCAGGGGUGAAAUCCUGGAGCUCAACUCCAGAACUUCCUUUGAUACUGAGGAUCUUGAGUCCGGGAGAGGUGAGUGGAACUGCGAGUGUAGAGGUGAAAUUCGUAGAUAUUCGCAAGAACACCAGUGGCGAAGGCGGCUCACUGGCCCGAUACUGACGCUGAGGCACGAAAGCGUGGGGAGCAAACAGG
Molecule: ribosomal RNA, 253 nt
Filed under: uncultured bacterium
Lineage: Bacteria
Description: partial 16S ribosomal RNA
Rfam family: Bacterial small subunit ribosomal RNA
Source: RNAcentral